RNAcentral lists this long non-coding RNA (207 nucleotides) under Olea europaea (common olive). RNAcentral's name for it is "long non-coding RNA (OEUR_LNC015623)". Lineage: Eukaryota; Viridiplantae; Streptophyta; Magnoliopsida; Lamiales; Oleaceae. The record is from RNAcentral.
CUUCUGAAGUAUAUGCCUAAGUGGUUGAUUAGUGAGCACCACAAUAGGGUGAGACUGAAAAUACUGCCGAAGUUUCCGUGCUGCUAUAACCAAGGCAAGGGCAAGUUGUUCCGCCAAAGUAUACCUUGUUUCCGCAUCCAGUAGGACCUUGCUUACAUAGUAGAUAGGUUGCUGGACUUUGUUGACCUCUUUCACCAAGACCCCGCU